AGCCUGAACGCUGGCGGCGUGGCUAAGACAUGCAAGUCGCACGGAACCCGCAAGGGUUUAGUGGCGAACGGGUGAGUAAUGAAUCGCUAAUGUGCCCCGGACUCUGGGAUAGCUACCCGAAAGGGUAGGUAAUACCAGAUGAUAUAACUUUCUCGCAUGAGAGAGUUCUCAAAGGUCCGCCGGUCUGGGAGCAGGCGAUUUCGAUCAGCUAGUUGGUGAGGUAAUGGCUCACCAAGGCGACGACGCGUAGCCGGACUGAGAGGUUGGCCGGCCACAUUGGGACUGAGACACUGCCCAGACUCCUACGGGGGCUGCAGUAACGAAUCUUCCGCAAUGCACGAAAGUG
RNAcentral lists this ribosomal RNA (346 nucleotides) under uncultured soil bacterium. RNAcentral's name for it is "bacterial SSU rRNA". It matches the Rfam family "Bacterial small subunit ribosomal RNA", at positions 26 to 383 of the family's 1533-position model. The record is from RNAcentral.